UACGAGAGGACCGGAGUGGACGCAUCACUGGUGUUCGGGUUGUCAUGCCAAUGGCACUGCCCGGUAGCUAAAUGCGGAAGAGAUAAGUGCUGAAAGCAUCUAAGCACGAAACUUGCCCCGAGAUGAGUUCUCCCUGAGACUUAGAGUCUCCUGAAGGAACGUUGAAGACGACGACGUUGAUAGGCCGGGUGUGUAAGCGCAGCGAUGCGUUGAGCUAACCGGUACUAAUGAACCGUGAGGCUUAACCUUACAACGCCGAAG
RNAcentral lists this ribosomal RNA (261 nucleotides) under Salmonella enterica. RNAcentral's name for it is "partial 23S ribosomal RNA". It matches the Rfam family "Bacterial large subunit ribosomal RNA", at positions 2682 to 2925 of the family's 2925-position model. Lineage: Bacteria; Pseudomonadati; Pseudomonadota; Gammaproteobacteria; Enterobacterales; Enterobacteriaceae. RNAcentral also lists the same sequence under 2 other names. The record is from RNAcentral.